Molecule: long non-coding RNA, 1041 nt
Filed under: Dicentrarchus labrax (European seabass)
Lineage: Eukaryota; Metazoa; Chordata; Actinopteri; Moronidae
Description: lncRNA (ENSDLAG00005016612.2)
Source: RNAcentral
AUGUCAAUAACUGUCAUCUUUAGCACUGGGAUUACCCUCUCCCUGUCGAUCCACAGAGCCCUCUGUCCUCUGGCCCCAUCUGGUGAUCUAUUUGGUCGAAUCCUGUUUUUCUCUGGCUCCUUUGGUUUCGAUCUCUUCGUUUCAGGUUCCUUAAUGCUUUCAGGCCUUGGUGUUCUGUCUGUCCUCUUCGGUUUUCCCUUUUCCUUUACUGACCUGACUGCUUUGCGUACUGGAGACCUGCUGCUGGUCUUCCCUGACACCACCUGCCUGGCCAUUGGUGACCCUGUCCUGGGUUUAGAGGUUAUACCCUUACCCUGGACCACAGAGACCUGGUCUGCUCUCGUAGUCCUCUGUGAAAUAGUCGGGAGAACACGUUUUUGUGUAGUCUCUACUACUGGGAUACAGAGAAGUUUGGAGGGCUUGGUGGCUGCACUGCGUUUUGAAACUGAAGCAUCUGCAGGUGUUGACGAUUUUUUUAGAAUCGGCGGCAGUGUGCGUGUUUCUGGCAUUUUCUUAAUGUCAUCAGUGGUUCCUUGCCUGGGUUUAGGGGUUAUACCCUUACCCUUGACCACAGAGACCUUGUCUGCUCUGGUAGUCCUCUGUGAAAUAGUCGGGAGAACACGUUUUUGUGUAGUCUCUAGUACUGGCAUACAGGGAAGUUUGGAGGGCUUAGUGGCUGCACUGCGUUUAGAAACUGAAGCAUCUGCAGGUGUUGACGAUUUUUUUAGAAUCGGUGGCAGUAUGCGCGUUUCUGGCAUUUUCUUGAUGUCGCCAGUGGUUCCUUUCCUGGGUUUAGGGGUUAUACCCUUACCCUGGACCACAGAAACCUGGCCUGCUCUAGUAUUCCUCUGUGGAAUAGGUGGGAUAGCAAGCUUUUCUGUAGUCUCUGGUACUGGGAUACUGGCAAGUUUGGAGGGCUUAGCGGCUGCACUGCGUUUAGAAACGGAAACAUCUGCAGGUGAUUUUUUCAAAAUCGGUGGCAGUAUGCGCGUUUCUGGCUUUUUGUUGAUGUCACCAGUGGUUCCUUCACUCUGCUGCUGA